RNAcentral lists this ribosomal RNA (497 nucleotides) under uncultured bacterium. RNAcentral describes it as "partial 16S ribosomal RNA". It matches the Rfam family "Bacterial small subunit ribosomal RNA", at positions 28 to 507 of the family's 1533-position model. The record is from RNAcentral.
GAUGAACGCUGGCGGCGUGCCUAAUACAUGCAAGUCGAGCGAACGGACGAGAAGCUUGCUUCUCUGAUGUUAGCGGCGGACGGGUGAGUAACACGUGGAUAGCCUACCUAUAAGACUGGGAUAACUUCGGGAAACCGGAGCUAAUACCGGAUAAUAUUUUGAACCGCAUGGUUCAAAAGUGAAAGACGGUCUUGCUGUCACUUAUAGAUGGAUCCGCGCUGCAUUAGCUAGUUGGUAAGGUGACGGCUUACCAAGGCAACGAUGCAUAGCCGACCUGAGAGGGUGAUCGGCCACACUGGAACUGAGACACGGUCCAGACUCCUACGGGAGGCAGCAGUAGGGAAUCUUCCGCAAUGGGCGAAAGCCUGACGGAGCAACGCCGCGUGAGUGAUGAAGGUCUUCGGAUCGUAAAACUCUGUUAUUAGGGAAGAACAUAUGUGUAAGUAACUGUGCACAUCUUGACGGUACCUAAUCAGAAAGCCACGGCUAACUACGUG